This 1132-nucleotide ribosomal RNA is filed under the name Vibrio parahaemolyticus. RNAcentral's name for it is "bacterial LSU rRNA". It matches the Rfam family "Bacterial large subunit ribosomal RNA", at positions 372 to 1518 of the family's 2925-position model. RNAcentral also lists the same sequence under 1 other name. The record is from RNAcentral. Lineage: Bacteria; Pseudomonadati; Pseudomonadota; Gammaproteobacteria; Vibrionales; Vibrionaceae.
CCCGUAGUUGACGACGUGUGUUCAGUGAAAUCGAGUAGGGCGGGACACGUGAUAUCCUGUCUGAAUAUGGGGGGACCAUCCUCCAAGGCUAAAUACUACUGACUGACCGAUAGUGAACCAGUACCGUGAGGGAAAGGCGAAAAGAACCCCUGUGAGGGGAGUGAAAUAGAACCUGAAACCGUGUACGUACAAGCAGUAGGAGCAGGCUUUGUCCUGUGACUGCGUACCUUUUGUAUAAUGGGUCAGCGACUUAUAUUCAGUGGCAAGGUUAACCAUCUAGGGGAGCCGUAGGGAAACCGAGUCUUAACUGGGCGUUCAGUCUCUGGAUAUAGACCCGAAACCAGGUGAUCUAGCCAUGGGCAGGUUGAAGGUUGAGUAACAUCAACUGGAGGACCGAACCGACUAAUGUUGAAAAAUUAGCGGAUGACUUGUGGCUAGGGGUGAAAGGCCAAUCAAACCUGGAGAUAGCUGGUUCUCCCCGAAAGCUAUUUAGGUAGCGCCUCGGACGAAUACUACUGGGGGUAGAGCACUGUUAAGGCUAGGGGGUCAUCCCGACUUACCAACCCUUUGCAAACUCCGAAUACCAGUAAGUACUAUCCGGGAGACACACGGCGGGUGCUAACGUCCGUCGUGGAGAGGGAAACAACCCAGACCGCCAGCUAAGGUCCCAAAUUACUACUAAGUGGGAAACGAUGUGGGAAGGCUCAGACAGCCAGGAUGUUGGCUUAGAAGCAGCCAUCAUUUAAAGAAAGCGUAAUAGCUCACUGGUCGAGUCGGCCUGCGCGGAAGAUGUAACGGGGCUAAGUAGUAAACCGAAGCUGCGGCAAUGUGCUUUUGCACAUUGGGUAGGGGAGCGUUCUGUAAGCGGUUGAAGGUGUGUGGUAACGCAUGCUGGACGUAUCAGAAGUGCGAAUGCUGACAUGAGUAACGAUAAAGGGGGUGAAAAACCUCCUCGCCGGAAGACCAAGGGUUCCUGUCCAACGUUAAUCGGGGCAGGGUAAGUCGACCCCUAAGGCGAGGCCGAAAGGCGUAGUCGAUGGGAAACGGGUUAAUAUUCCCGUACUUCUUACAAUUGCGAUGGGGGGACGGAGAAGGCUAGGUGGGCCUGGCGACGGUUGUCCAGGUUCAAGUG